RNAcentral lists this ribosomal RNA (253 nucleotides) under uncultured bacterium. Its description in RNAcentral is "partial 16S ribosomal RNA". It matches the Rfam family "Bacterial small subunit ribosomal RNA", at positions 524 to 776 of the family's 1533-position model. The record is from RNAcentral.
UACAGAGGGGGCAAGCGUUGUUCGGAAUUACUGGGCGUAAAGGGCGCGUAGGCGGCCUUCUAAGUCGAACGUGAAAUCCCUGGGCUCAACCCAGGAACUGCGUCCGAUACUGGGAGGCUUGAAUCCGGGAGAGGGAUGUGGAAUUCCAGGUGUAGCGGUGAAAUGCGUAGAUAUCUGGAGGAACACCGGUGGCGAAGGCGGCGUUCUGGACUGCAACUGACACUGAUGAACGAAAGCCAGGGGAGCAAACGGG